UAAUAGCCAUAAUCUACAAUAUCUAAUUUCUAAGUGUUUUUUAUUGUUGUUGUGUUCUGUAUUUGCAAUCAUAAUGAUGCGACACUAAAUGGGUAUCUAAGUUUUACAACGCAGACGACAUUUCGAAAAACAUUGUCAUUAAAUUCGGUCAAUCACAUGCAUCAUCAUUUGAUUUUGUCACUUGACAUUUUGGCUAAUUCGAGCUAUUACGCGUGUUUUCACGUUACCUCAAUUACAAGAAAAAAUAACCGGUCGUUGGCGUGACUUUGUUUAUAAGCCGGUGCAUCUAACCAAAUAAUCAGAACUGAGCAAAUCUGAGCAAAAUACUAAGGAUUUUAAGGAAAAAAGAUGCCUUUAACAGCGUUUGUCGUCAUGGUUUUUGUGAUGGCUGGACUCUUCAGCAAUGGUACAGCAAGUGGAAUCUCAAGAAAAAGAGAACUUUUGGAUAGACUGUACAAAUAUGGUUCCGACGUCGGCGAUGAAUGUCAGCAGGAAUGUGCCGGCUUUGACGUCACAGACUGUGAUCUGUUUUGCCAGCAGGAGUAUCAGGAAAAUUAUAAGAUUCUAUAUGAAGCCUGUCUUGGAGAGUGUGCGGAGGUUUACAUAUACUGCAAGUAUGACCUGGAAUGUGACAUUGACAAGUGAUGGAAUUCAGAAAAACUUUAUGACGUUUCCUAAACGCAACCUUUUUACGUUCGCCGUGAUAGUGACUUUCUGAAUAGUAAAAGAUGUCAUGUCAAGCUUGAUGUAUAUAAUACAGCAUUUUAGUUUCUAAAAUAGACUCUUAAAAUGGGUUGUUUUGCCGUGACUUUCAGUAAUUAAUGAAAAAUAUGGAUUUUGCCAACCAGACAGCAAUCUGAACUGAUCUUUGAUAAAGUUUAUAUUAAUUUAUCUUUUAUAUAUAAUUUGAUCAUUGUGGACAAACCCAUUUCUGCAUAACUCAUUUCAGCUCAGAGAUGUAAUUGAAUAAAGUGCAAUAUAAAG
Molecule: long non-coding RNA, 984 nt
Organism: Mercenaria mercenaria
Lineage: Eukaryota; Metazoa; Mollusca; Bivalvia; Venerida; Veneridae
Exons: 2
Source: RefSeq, a predicted model, not a curated record